UACGGAGGGUGCAAGCGUUGUCCGGAUUUAUUGGGUUUAAAGGGUGCGUAGGCGGGUCUAUAAGUCUGGUUUGAAAGUCAGCGGCUCAACCGUUGAGGGUGGCUGGAUACUGUAGAUCUUGAAAUUGUUGGAGGCAGCCGGAACGGAUCGUGUAGCGGUGAAAUGCAUAGAUAUGAUCCAGAACACCAAUUGCGUAGGCAGGCUGCUACGACUGAUUUGACGCUGAGGCACGAGAGCAUGGGGAGCAAACAGG
This 253-nucleotide ribosomal RNA is filed under the name uncultured Nibrella sp. RNAcentral's name for it is "partial 16S ribosomal RNA". It matches the Rfam family "Bacterial small subunit ribosomal RNA", at positions 524 to 776 of the family's 1533-position model. The record is from RNAcentral. Lineage: Bacteria; Pseudomonadati; Bacteroidota; Cytophagia; Cytophagales; Spirosomataceae.